AGGACGAACGCUGGCGGCGCGCUUAACACAUGCAAGUCGAGCGAGAACCCAGGCUUCGGCCUGGGGGAAAGCGGCGAACGGGUGAGUAACACGUGGGUAAUCUGCCCUCGACAUCGGGAUAGCCCGGGGAAACCCGGAUUAAUACCGAAUAGCCCAACAGCUUUUCGGAGCGGUUGGAAAAGGUAGCUUUGGCCUCCGGUCGAGGAGGAGCUCGCGGCGGAUUAGCUUGUUGGUGAGGUAACGGCUCACCAAGGCGUCGAUCCGUAGCUGGUCUGAGAGGACGAUCAGCCACACUGGGACUGAGACACGGCCCAGACUCCUACGGGAGGCAGCAGUGGGGAAUCUUGCGCAAUGGGCGAAAGCCUGACGCAGCGACGCCGCGUGAGGGAAGAAGGCCUCGGGUUGUAAACCUCUUUCAGGAGGGACGAAGCCACUCGGGUUAAUAGCCAGAGGGUGACGGUACCUCCAGAAGAAGCCCGGCUAACUACGUGCCAGCAGCCGC
RNAcentral lists this ribosomal RNA (502 nucleotides) under uncultured bacterium. RNAcentral describes it as "SSU rRNA". It matches the Rfam family "Bacterial small subunit ribosomal RNA", at positions 26 to 518 of the family's 1533-position model. The record is from RNAcentral.